UAGAGGUCUAGCCUGCCCAGUGACCAAUUUAACGGCCGCGGUACCCUAACCGUGCAAAGGUAGCAUAAUCACUUGUUUCUUAAAUGGGGACUAGUAUCAAUGGCAUCACGAAGACUACACUGUCUCCCCUUUAAAAUCAAUGAAACUGAUCCCCUCGUGAAGAAGCGAGGAUAUAAAUAUAAGACGAGAAGACCCCAUGGAGCUUUAAACGAACUUCAAUUGCUCCCCUCCUUACCAUAUAAGUUGAGCACUAAUGAUAGGUAGUUUUCGGUUGGGGCGACCGCGGAGUAAAACAAAACCUCCACAAUGAAUGUAAUAAAUACUAAUAAAAGAACCACAAUUCUAAUAAUCAAAAAUUUGACAUAAAUUGACCCAAACACUUGAUCAAUGAACCAAGUUACCCUGGGGAUAACAGCGCAAUCCAUUUUAAGAGCCCUUAUCGACAAAUGGGUUUACGACCUCGAUGUUGGAUCAGGGUAUCCCAGUGGUGCAGCCGCUACUAAUGGUUCGUUUGUUCAACGAUUAAAACCCUACGUGAUCUG
This 542-nucleotide ribosomal RNA is filed under the name Leptopelis cf. kivuensis 1 FP-2014. Its description in RNAcentral is "partial 16S ribosomal RNA". It matches the Rfam family "Bacterial large subunit ribosomal RNA", at positions 1846 to 2607 of the family's 2925-position model. The record is from RNAcentral. Lineage: Eukaryota; Metazoa; Chordata; Amphibia; Anura; Arthroleptidae.